AUACUGACCUGGGAGGGGAGAUACCAUGAUAACGAAGGUGGUUUUCUCAGGGUGAGGCUUAUUCAUUGAACCCCAGAUGUGCUGACUCCUGCAAUUUUCCCAAAUGUGGGAAAUACAACUGCAUAAUUUGUGAUAGUGGGAGACUGCAUUCACACUCUCCCU
Molecule: small nuclear RNA, 162 nt
Filed under: Carlito syrichta (Philippine tarsier)
Lineage: Eukaryota; Metazoa; Chordata; Mammalia; Primates; Tarsiidae
Description: U1 spliceosomal RNA (ENSTSYG00000028344.1)
Rfam family: U1 spliceosomal RNA
About the family: U1 is a small nuclear RNA (snRNA) component of the spliceosome (involved in pre-mRNA splicing). Its 5' end forms complementary base pairs with the 5' splice junction, thus defining the 5' donor site of an intron.
Source: Rfam by way of RNAcentral